GCUCCAUCAGUGUACAUUAAAAUUGCUGCAGUUGAAAAGCUCGUAGUUGGAUUUAUGCCAAGAUUAUCUGGUCCAUCCUUUGGUUGAGAAACAGAACGGUUGAAAGCAAAUUGUUGAACAUUGUAGCUGCACUUAACUGUGUGGUGCCUGUCCAAGCUUGCCACCUUAAUGAAUUUGUUGUGCUUCAAGCAGGCAGAAGC
Molecule: ribosomal RNA, 200 nt
Filed under: uncultured eukaryote
Lineage: Eukaryota
Description: partial 18S ribosomal RNA
Rfam family: Eukaryotic small subunit ribosomal RNA
Source: RNAcentral